CCGCCAAAACUUUCACUCCUUUUUCCAAGUCCGCUGAGGCCUUGUGACCCCACGGAUGCCCCACGUCUGCCCCCUGGCGGCCAUCCCGAGGGGCAGCGCCGGAAAUCUCCUUGCCGCCCGGGGUCCCCCGGUCGCCAGCGGUCAGCCCGCUGUGCACCCCAUCCUCGUGGGUUCGAAACAGUUGGGAGUUGGACCCACUCCAGCUUCGGCUCCAGGAGGCGCCUCCUGAGCGGUCUGCCCUCCUGGGGCCAUGGAGAAGGCCGCCCAUAAAAGCAAAAAAGGCAAAAACGUUGGCUUCAAUGUCAAGUCAUCCAUACACAACUUGAGCAAAACUCAGCAGACCAAACUUACUGUGGGCAACCUGGGCUUAGGCCUGAUCAUCAUCCAGAAUGGGCCCUACCUCCAGAUCACCCACCUCAUCAGGACGGGGGCUGCAGCCACGGAUGGAAAACUCCAGCCAGGUGAUGUUCUGAUUAGUGUUGGCCAUGCCAAUGUGUUAGGAUAUACUCUUCGAGAAUUUUUAAAACUUUUGCAAUACAUCACCAUAGGAACAGUGCUACAAAUCAAGAUUUAUCGAGAUUUUAUUGACAUACCCCAAGAAUGGCAAGAAAUAUAUGAUUUAAUCCCUGAGACCAAAUUCCCGGUAACACGCACAACAAAGAAAACUGAGCAGGCAAAAGACCCUUUAGCAAGCAGUGAUGACAGUGAAGAUGUAGUUUCAGAUAAAAAACUUAAGUAUUAUAAAUAUUCAAGGUCCAGUGGGCAUCACUCUGCAAGGAGACCAAUGUCUAUCUCCAGAGAAUGGCAUGGCUACAAAAAGAAGAACCGUACUAUUAGUGUAGGAAAAGGCAUUAAUGCUGAUGUGGUGAUUCACAGAGAUCCCAAGAGAGAAGUGAGGCCCCCUUCUCCAUACUGGACAAUGGUGAAGCGAGACAACCAAAGCUCUUCCUCAUCCACAGCCUCCUCUACCUCAGAUGCAUUUUGGCUAGAAGACUUUGCCCAAGUUGAAAAGGGCAGGGGCCAACCUGUAUCAAAAGUUGCUUAGGCAGCAGUCUGCAAACUGGUGAUCACAUGAGCAUCUAAUUUUUGUGCACUGCUAUGCACAGGUUUGCUAUACUUACAGGAGGAAUAUGUGUAGACUUACCCAUUCUUUCACAAGUGCAUUCUGAUGCCGUCAGAGACAUUCUUCAAUGUGAUAAUCCAAAGACUUCCCUGGGGUCAGACAGGCCUCACCACCUUAUUCUCAAAAUAGCAACAUCAUUAACACACUCCCUUCUGAGAAGAACAUCUCAUCUUUUACAAAAUGCGGCAGAGGAACCCAGGACCAGAAUGUAUGAACAUAGAGAGAAUUUCAAUUUUUAAGGUGGAGCUGUUGGGGAGAAGAUGGUGGAGACCUCUACCAUGCAAGAGGAGUCGACAUUUUUCAUGUGGAAAAAACUGGGAAAACCCACUGAUUGUAGAUUUGUUCUGUAGUUCAUAUAUUUGUUAGGCAUAGUAGAGAGUACAAAAAGGUAUAAGAUACGGUCCUGGCCCUUAAAACAAUUCAGUCUCACAAUAAUAUAUGUG
RNA transcript from Leopardus geoffroyi (Geoffroy's cat), 1566 nucleotides. It is a transcript of the gene named PDZ domain containing 9, with no coding region annotated. Lineage: Eukaryota; Metazoa; Chordata; Mammalia; Carnivora; Felidae. The record is from RefSeq and is a predicted model, not a curated record. The transcript has 5 exons.